Small nuclear RNA from Suncus etruscus (white-toothed pygmy shrew), 168 nucleotides. RefSeq annotates it as U1 spliceosomal RNA. The record is from RefSeq and is a predicted model, not a curated record. Lineage: Eukaryota; Metazoa; Chordata; Mammalia; Eulipotyphla; Soricidae. The transcript has a single exon.
AUACUUACCUGGCAGGAGAGAUACCACGAUCAUGAAGGUGGUUUCCCCAGGGCGAGGCUCACCCAUUGCACUCCGGGUGUGCUGACCCCUGUGAUUUCCCCAAAUGUGGGAAACUCGACUGCAUAAUUAAAAAAAGAAAAAUGUGUAUAUAUAUAUAUAUCCAUUUUU